Molecule: unclassified non-coding RNA, 148 nt
Organism: Pongo abelii (Sumatran orangutan)
Lineage: Eukaryota; Metazoa; Chordata; Mammalia; Primates; Hominidae
Rfam family: Metazoan signal recognition particle RNA
About the family: The signal recognition particle (SRP) is a universally conserved ribonucleoprotein. It is involved in the co-translational targeting of proteins to membranes. The eukaryotic SRP consists of a 300-nucleotide 7S RNA and six proteins: SRPs 72, 68, 54, 19, 14, and 9.
Source: Ensembl
GCCGGGCGUGGUGGCGUGCACCUGUAAUCCCAGUUACUCAGGAGGCUGAGGCAGGAGAAUCGCUUGAACCCAGGAGGCAGAGGUUGCAGUGAGCCGAGAUUGUGCCACUGCACCCCAGCCUGGGUGACAGAGUGAGACUCCGUCUCAA